UCCUGCUUGAACAUGUUCUUGUUCAAUUUCUUGUACAAGUGGUGAAAGAAGUAACAGUUCUUGCUGGAGUAUGUGGAAUUGAUCCUUUAUGCAGAAUGGAUUACUUCCUAAGGCAGUUGGAGUAGUGGAGGUUAGCAAUUAUCAACUUGAAAUUCCAAAUAAGUACUUCUCCCCGUUAGUAAGUGAACUUUUGAAGUUUUGGUCACUGCUCUAUUAGAAUCAUUUGUAUACCCAGUUUUUGAUAAUAUUGUAGCCACAUUAACAGGUAACAGAAGAAUAAGGGAGAGAAGAAAAGGAAGAACAUGAAGGCCUUACGUUGUAAUGGAACACGUUUAUGGAGACAACUCUGACUGGAGAUUCAACGAUGUAUUACGCAUAAGAUUUCUUAGACAAG
RNAcentral lists this long non-coding RNA (394 nucleotides) under Panax ginseng (ginseng). RNAcentral describes it as "long non-coding RNA (PGIN_LNC003543)". Lineage: Eukaryota; Viridiplantae; Streptophyta; Magnoliopsida; Apiales; Araliaceae. The record is from RNAcentral.